AAUAGGGGAGCCGGAGGGAAACCGAGUCUUAAUUGGGCGUUAAGUUGCAGGGUAUAGACCCGAAACCCGGUGAUCUAGCCAUGGGCAGGUUGAAGGUUGGGUAACACUAACUGGAGGACCGAACCGACUAAUGUUGAAAAAUUAGCGGAUGACCUGUGGCUGGGGGUGAAAGGCCAAUCAAACCGGGAGAUAGCUGGUUCUCCCCGAAAGCUAUUUAGGUAGCGCCUCGUGAAUUCAUCUCCGGGGGUAGAGCACUGUUUCGGCUAGGGGGCCAUCCCGGCUUACCAACCCGAUGCAAACUGCGAAUACCGGAGAAUGUUAUCACGGGAGACACACGGCGGGUGCUAACGUCCGUCGUGAAGAGGGAAACAACCCAGACCGCCAGCUAAGGUCCCAAAGUCAUGGUUAAGUGGGAAACGAUGUGGGAAGGCCCAGACAGCCAGGAUGUUGGCUUAGAAGCAGCCAUCAUUUAAAGAAAGCGUAAUAGCUCACUGGUCGAGUCGGCCUGCGCGGAAGAUGUAACGGGGCUAAACCAUGCACCGAA
RNAcentral lists this ribosomal RNA (544 nucleotides) under Salmonella enterica subsp. enterica serovar Enteritidis. Its description in RNAcentral is "partial 23S ribosomal RNA". It matches the Rfam family "Bacterial large subunit ribosomal RNA", at positions 656 to 1198 of the family's 2925-position model. The record is from RNAcentral. Lineage: Bacteria; Pseudomonadati; Pseudomonadota; Gammaproteobacteria; Enterobacterales; Enterobacteriaceae.